CAGCUACAGUAUCAAAUUUUAAUUGUAUAUAUGUAUAAAUAUAGUUAUAGACCAUAAAUAUCCAAGUCAAAACAUUCUCCUCUAGGCAGAUGCUUCCCUCUCCCCCUCAAAAAAAGUCUUUGCAACUAAAUAAACUAACAGCUUUAAGUAAUACUGAAGAAAAAACAUGCUGAGGUAAUUUUUCAUCUAAAGUGACUACAGCCUAUAUUAAAACAUUCUUCUAGUAAGAGUUCAAGUAGUUAUGAAACCCUUGCCUCAAAAUUCCAAAAUGCAACUUUAUUAUCAAAUGAAAGAAAAAAAUAGUUUAAUGAUAAAUAAGUAAAAUAAAUAAGAUUAUUCCUGCUGAAAUUCAAUCUUGACAGUAUUAUUUCUUUUUUUAUAUAUUUGUGGAGUUUUGUUGAUAGCCUGGCCUUUUAAUAAUUGAAAACAGCAAUUCAUGAAGCCCGUCUCAGAAUAUACCUAUUACUCUAACACAUCAGCAGUUAUAUUAGAAUAUUCAUCUUACCAAGUUUUAAUUACAGCAG
This 524-nucleotide long non-coding RNA is filed under the name Bos taurus (domestic cattle). Its description in RNAcentral is "long non-coding RNA NONBTAT015333". The record is from RNAcentral. Lineage: Eukaryota; Metazoa; Chordata; Mammalia; Artiodactyla; Bovidae.